GACGUAACGCUGGCGGCGUGCUUAAUACAUGCAAGUCGACUGAACUUAAGGUAGCAAUAUUUUAAGGGAGGUGGCGCACGGUGAGUAACACGUAGGUAAUCUGCCUUUAGGUCUGACACAACCUACCGAAAGGUAGGCUAAUAUCAGAUGAUGCAGCGGCUCGACAUCGAGACAGUUGUUAAACCUUCGGGGCCUAAAGAUGAGCCUGCGUCUGAUUAGGUAGUUGGCGGAGUAAUAGCCCACCAAGCCUGCGAUCAGUAGCUGGUCUGAGAGGAUGAUCAGCCACACUGGAACUGAGACACGGUCCAGACUCCUACGGGA
This 321-nucleotide ribosomal RNA is filed under the name uncultured bacterium. Its description in RNAcentral is "bacterial SSU rRNA". It matches the Rfam family "Bacterial small subunit ribosomal RNA", at positions 32 to 346 of the family's 1533-position model. The record is from RNAcentral.